UCAAUGGGUAUUUUAUUAAAAAUAUUAAUUUUGGAGAUUAAAGAAAGAUGUUGAUUUUCCCGUUGAGC
This 68-nucleotide transfer RNA is filed under the name Neoplerochila sp. RNAcentral describes it as "tRNA-Pro". Lineage: Eukaryota; Metazoa; Arthropoda; Insecta; Hemiptera; Tingidae. The record is from RNAcentral.